This is a long non-coding RNA of Xiphophorus maculatus (southern platyfish), 376 nucleotides long. RefSeq lists it as uncharacterized. The transcript is spliced from 3 exons. Lineage: Eukaryota; Metazoa; Chordata; Actinopteri; Cyprinodontiformes; Poeciliidae. The record is from RefSeq and is a predicted model, not a curated record.
UCAACCUGCAACCGCACGAUCCAGUUACUGUAGCCGCUUGCUGCAAUGAAAACAUCGUCGUUGGUGGGUGGAUGUAUGUCUGGGCCCGGUUCCGUCAUUUUUUGCCCCCCAGAACCACUGACUGAGUGAAGACGAGAAGGCAUGAGGCCCAUGUUAUGGAUUACAGCAGAUGUGGCCGUCUGUGGGGCCGCCAGCUGGCCGCCGCAUGCCGUCUUGUAGCCAGGGCCCCCGUGCCUGAGCUCCGUGCACCUCACACAUCAUACCUUUGACUUCAUGAAGAUUCCUGACAUCUGUGAUGUAAUGAAUAAAUUUGAAGUCCUUGGGAUUGUGGGUGAAGGUGCUUACGGUGUUGUUCUGAAGUGCAGACAAAAGGUAA